CUUGUACACACCGCCCGUCACACCAUGGGAGUUUGUAACGCCCAAAGUCGGUGGCCUAACCUUUAUGGAGGGAGCCGCCUAAGGCGGGACUGAUGACUGGGGUGAAGUCGUAACAAGGUAGCCGUAGGAGAACCUGCGGCUGGAUCACCUCCUUUCUAAGGAAUAAAACGGAACCUACACAUCGAAGAAACUUUGUUUAGUUUUGAG
Molecule: unclassified non-coding RNA, 207 nt
Filed under: Limosilactobacillus reuteri
Lineage: Bacteria; Bacillati; Bacillota; Bacilli; Lactobacillales; Lactobacillaceae
Description: Lactobacillus reuteri partial contains 16S ribosomal RNA and 16S-23S ribosomal RNA intergenic spacer
Rfam family: Bacterial small subunit ribosomal RNA (bases 1-155)
Source: RNAcentral